UGGGGAAUAUUGCGCAAUGGGGGGAACCCUGACGCAGCCAUGCCGCGUGAAUGAAGAAGGCCUUCGGGUUGUAAAGUUCUUUCGGUAUUGAGGAAGGUUGAUGUGUUAAUAGCACAUCAAAUUGACGUUAAAUACAGAAGAAGCACCGGCUAACUCCGUGCCAGCAGCCGCGGUAAUACGGAGGGUGCGAGCGUUAAUCGGAAUAACUGGGCGUAAAGGGCACGCAGGCGGUUAUUUAAGUGAGGUGUGAAAGCCCCGGGCUUAACCUGGGAAUUGCAUUUCAGACUGGGUAACUAGAGUACUUUAGGGAGGGGUAGAAUUCCACGUGUAGCGGUGAAAUGCGUAGAGAUGUGGAGGAAUACCGAAGGCGAAGGCAGCCCCUUGGGAAUGUACUGACGCUCAUGUGCGAAAGCGUGGGGAGCAAACAGGAUUAGAUACCCUGGUAGUCCACGCUGUAAACGCUGUCGAUUUGGGGGUUGGGGUUUAACUCUGGCGCCCGUAGCUAACGUGAUAAAUCGACCGCCUGGGAGUACGGNCGCNAGGUUAA
RNAcentral lists this ribosomal RNA (547 nucleotides) under uncultured bacterium. Its description in RNAcentral is "bacterial SSU rRNA". It matches the Rfam family "Bacterial small subunit ribosomal RNA", at positions 355 to 897 of the family's 1533-position model. The record is from RNAcentral.